This 387-nucleotide ribosomal RNA is filed under the name Pseudo-nitzschia sp. Its description in RNAcentral is "partial small subunit ribosomal RNA". It matches the Rfam family "Eukaryotic small subunit ribosomal RNA", at positions 587 to 975 of the family's 1831-position model. The record is from RNAcentral. Lineage: Eukaryota; Bacillariophyta; Bacillariophyceae; Bacillariales; Bacillariaceae.
AGCUCCAAUAGCGUAUAUUAAAGUUGUUGCAGUUAAAAAGCUCGUAGUUGGAUUUGUGGUGUGUCCAGUCGGCCUUUGCUCUUUGAGUGAUUGUGCUGUACUGGUCUGCCAUGUUUGGGUGGAAUCUGUGUGGCAUUAGGUUGUCGUGCAGGGGAUGCCCAUCGUUUACUGUGAAAAAAUUAGAGUGUUCAAAGCAGGCUUAUGCCGUUGAAUAUAUUAGCAUGGAAUAAUGAUAUAGGACCUUGGUACUAUUUUGUUGGUUUGCGCACUAAGGUAAUGAUUAAGAGGGACAGUUGGGGGUAUUUGUAUUCCAUUGUCAGAGGUGAAAUUCUUGGAUUUUUGGAAGACAAACUACUGCGAAAGCAUUUACCAAGGAUGUUUUCAUUA